CAGUAGCCACGGGAAUACGAAGGGGGCUAGCGUUGUUCGGAAUUACUGGGCGUAAAGCGCACGUAGGCGGAUAUUUAAGUCAGGGGUGAAUCCCGCAGCUCAACUGCGGAACUGCCUUUGAUACUGGGUAUCUUGAGUAUGGAAGAGGUUAGUGGAAUUGCGAGUGUAGAGGUGAAAUUCGUAGAUAUUCGCAGGAACACCAGUGGCGAAGGCGGCUAACUGGUCCAUAACUGACGCUGAGGUGCGAAAGCGUGGGGAGCAAACAGGAUUAGAUACCCGCGUAGUCCCUGUCUCUUAUACA
RNAcentral lists this ribosomal RNA (301 nucleotides) under uncultured bacterium. RNAcentral's name for it is "partial 16S ribosomal RNA". It matches the Rfam family "Bacterial small subunit ribosomal RNA", at positions 509 to 808 of the family's 1533-position model. The record is from RNAcentral.